UAUUUUAUCUAUAGUUUUACUACUAGUGUACUAUAAUAUUAAACGUACGAAUUGAACUGAUUUCUUACUUUAUAUCCAUGCGACUAGAUUAUAAAUAAAUACAUAUCGAUCGGUAUUGUACGGAUUGUAUCAUGUAUAUUUCUUCCUGGUUUAAUACAAGGAAAUACUUUAUUAAUUCCUGAUAUAAAUUUUCAGGAGUAUGGAUUAUCAGAAGAAGAGGCAGACAAACUAACACUUUGCUGUGUUAUAUAAAGAGCUGAUACAAAACUUAAACGUUUGAGUAACAUCAUGAGCACGUCUGGUGGUCGUGGGCGAAAUAAAGGCGUUAAUUCAGGCAGAAGUCCAGCACCGUCCAAGGCAAAGGUAUCUCGUGAAAGAGGCAUCCCACCAGAUAGCAAAAACCAAGGUGGAUCAGUUCAGUCAUUAACGGCAGCCUCAAAUGGUGACAAUGAUAUAAAAACGUGGCUGAAUGAGCUGAAACAGCAAAUUGAGAAAGAUGUAUAAAA
Molecule: long non-coding RNA, 506 nt
Organism: Ruditapes philippinarum (Manila clam)
Lineage: Eukaryota; Metazoa; Mollusca; Bivalvia; Venerida; Veneridae
Exons: 5
Source: RefSeq, a predicted model, not a curated record